RNAcentral lists this ribosomal RNA (679 nucleotides) under uncultured Tulasnellaceae. RNAcentral's name for it is "eukaryotic LSU rRNA". The stretch from base 190 to 343 matches the Rfam family "5.8S ribosomal RNA". The record is from RNAcentral. Lineage: Eukaryota; Fungi; Basidiomycota; Agaricomycetes; Cantharellales; Tulasnellaceae.
UCCGUAGGUGAACGUGCGGAGGGAUCAUUACAGAGUUUGCGUGGCAGUCGCUGGUUUUACAAGUGCGCGCCGCGUCUUUCUUUAUCCACCCCCAUCGUGCAUGUCGGCGCGUCUCGUCUCCAGACGGACGCGGUCCUUUUACCACACACCUUUUGUAACCUGCGAACGUAAAAAAUGUAACUAAUGUACAACUAUCAACAACGGAUCUCUUGGCAUCCCACUCGAUGAAGAACGCAGCGAAUUGCGAUAAGUAAUGUGAAUUGCAGAAUUCAGUGAAUCAUCGAAUCUUUGAACGCACCUUGCACCUUCUGGUAUUCCGGAAGGUAUGCCCGGUUGAGUAUUAUGAUCAUCUCAAACCUCUUGCUUCUGAUUGCAAAGGUCGUACGUUCGGCGAACCCGUCUGUAGGGACGGCGGUAGCUGAAGUGCGACUUGGAAGCUUGACGGUAUUGGACUUGAGCGUCGUCGGUCCUCCUUGGAUCGACCCGUUUGAAAUGCAUUAGCUGGCGACCCGCCCUACGGUUCCACUCGGCGUGAUAAGUCUUUCGUCGAGGACGUCUUCAAGACGGCCGAAGGAUGUGGUACAGAGCCGCUUCCAAUCGUCUUUGGACACCUUUUGAACUUUAAUCUCAACUCGGGUAGGACUACCCGCUGAACUUAAGCAUAUCAAUAAGCGGAGGA